AGUCAUAUGCUUGUCUCAAAGAUUAAGCCAUGCAUGUCUAAGUAUAAAUAACUACACAGUAAAACUGCGAAUGGCUCAUUAAAACAGUUAUAGUUUAUUUGAUACAUUUUAAAUGGAUAACUGUAGAAACACUAGAGCUAAUACAUGCCAAGACCGUAAGGUUGUAUUUAUUAGAUAUUCCAAGUAGGUGAAUCAUAAUAACUUCGCAAAUCUCAGUUAUACUGAGAUAAACCAUUCAAGUUUCUGCCCUAUCAUGCUCUCGAUGGUAGUGUAUUGGACUACCAUGGCUCUCACGGGUAACGGGGAAUUAGGGUUCGAUUCCGGAGAAGGAGCCUGAGAAACGGCUACUACAUCUAAGGAAGGCAGCAGGCGCGUAAAUUACCCAAUUCUGAUUCAGAGAGGUAGUGACAAGAAAUAACGGGUCGGGAUUAUGUCCCGGGACUGCAAUGAGAUGAAUUUAUACCCCUUUUCGAGUAACAAU
This 481-nucleotide ribosomal RNA is filed under the name uncultured eukaryote. RNAcentral's name for it is "bacterial SSU rRNA". It matches the Rfam family "Eukaryotic small subunit ribosomal RNA", at positions 22 to 548 of the family's 1831-position model. The record is from RNAcentral.